CAUGAGCAACAGAGUUGACAAGACUGGAGAAUUGAUCGAUCGACGGAUAUGAUCAUGAGAAACUUUCUGCUCCAGGUCAGUCUUAUCCGUAAGCACUGAGUAAUACCUUGCGAAUUUGUGUCGAAUUCAUACACGCUUUUGAAGAAAAAGGUUGGACCCAAACAUCGCUGUUUGAACAUUAAUCAUGAACGGGUAUGUAGUCUUCACAGUACCCGUUCUCUAACGUACGUACCCCCACACAGAAGUUUUACCAUCAUACUAGCCGUGCUUUGAACGGCAUCGCGAAUGAUACCACCAGUUGUUCACACCCGGUUUUUGACCAGAGUCAACCGAAGAAGAUAAGGUUCUAAUAACUGAUGAAAGAGAGAAUAGCCGACGAAGAAGAGAGAAAGAGUCUGUUGAUAACCUAGCGUUGACAAAUGCCAAGCCAUAGAUGACCGGAUUCUAGAAGCCGAUAGAAGAUCGGGAUGAUCCAAUCCGAAGCAAAAUCGACUCCACCAAAUAAGGGAAAACGUGAAGAUUUAUCUUUAGUAGUUUUAGAUUCGCUUGUAACGGUUAAUGUCGUAACCGACUAGGAUUUUAACUUGCUUCAAGAUAUAAAUAUAAACCCAUGAGCCUUGUAACAAGAAUAAUCAUCGAUCAAUCAAUAUAAUAUUUUGGCAUCACGCCGCCAACAAGAAUAAUCAUCGAUCAAUCAAUAUAACAUUUUGGCAUCACGCCGCUAAAACCCUAGUAGUAGGAGUAGAGUAGGAACCGACGAGUUUCUUCUUGCGCGCAGGGCUGCAUCAGCUUCGAUCUCAAGCCUUGGUCAUUACGUUACCUGUAUCAAAAUUUUAUAAGCAUCGUCCAAUAUUCUGAUCUUUUAUCGUGUGGCUAGUUAUCGAGUUAACUUAGAUUGCAAGUAGAACUUUUUAAGUUUUAUCCAAUAUUCUAUUUGUCUUCGACGUUGCUCACAGUUUUUGAGUUGUUUGGUUUUAUUAAGUUGUAUCACUCUUAGUUUUAUCAAACGCUCACAGUUAUCAAACGGUUUAGAUCUGAUUAGGUUGUAUUUAUUGGCUCCUUGAUCUUAUUUAAGCGUUCACCAGUUAUCUGAUCGUAUUGUCUGGUUAGAUCUUGCACGCUUUACUUGCUUUACAUAUGCUAGGUCCGAUAGAUCUUUACUCCUGCCCCUCGUAUUACUAGCCAUCGGAUCCUUAACAUCAUAACGCUACUAUUGAGAGCUGAUACAUCGGCUGGGUAUCAUCUAUAUCUCACAAAAGUGUGAUGACGUCAUUGAGCUAGUAGGUGCGCGUAUGAGGCCUUGAUGUCUGUUAAGUUACUCAUUCGUAUUACCCUGUCUAAAUUCAAUAUAAAAUGACAUUGAUUAGAUCCAUUAGCUUAAUCAGCUUGUAAGUGAUAGGCAAGAGGUUCUUGUUACCAUGCUCUAAUCUUUUAGAUUAACAGAUUGAUGUUGAUGCCCUCUCAUACGUGUUACCUUGUCUAAGUUCAAUACAUGUAUCAUGACAUUAAUUUAGAUCUGUUAGUUUAUCUGAUGCGUGCAUGGCUGGCAAGUGCUCCUUUUAUGGAUGUUAUUUUACAAUGCUUUAUCUUAGCCCGUCGGCUCAUAUAGCUGAUGGCACAUGCUAUUAAUGCUCUUGUUUAUUUACACGGCAUGAUUACAUUGAAAACCUAUAUGUUGUGGUGCUUAUUCCAAUAACGCCUACCCAUAAGUUCGAAAGGCUUCGCUGCUGAUUGGCUCAGGAAUUUAAUAUUUAUCUUGUCAAUUUCAGGUCAAAUUGACUAUCACGUCUUGCACCAUUCGCGAACCGAUUUGAACGCGAACCGAUUUGAAGCCUAUACUGAGGUUAAGCAGAUCUCUCAGAUCUUCCGUAUUGUUCAACGCAGAAGCCCGAGUCCAGAUUUUGGAUCAACACGAGUCAGGACACGGUAAUAAAAAGUCCAAACGCAGCAAUUCUUCGAUGCCCGUCCGGACGUGCAUGACUGGUUGGCGAGAGGUCGCUCUUCUGGAUCGACGUUAACCGUCGGUAAUUUCUAGCUUUUUGCAAGCCCAUUUCUAUCACUGACGCGGAGAGGGUACGCAUCCUAUCCUCUCCGGCUCUGCAGCCAGUAGGAGUCACUGUCUUUUGGAGAUGCCGUCAGAUAUGGUGUGCUCAGCUGCUUACUUAAGUUUGAUGGCUGCCCGUUGACGCCGCGCAAGUCCUCCUGUCAGUUUCACUUUGGGACCGAGGGUGACAGUGACUCAUGAUGCUUGCCCCUGAUGACUGUUACGUUUCUAUGUAUU
Molecule: long non-coding RNA, 2281 nt
Filed under: Setaria viridis
Lineage: Eukaryota; Viridiplantae; Streptophyta; Magnoliopsida; Poales; Poaceae
Description: long non-coding RNA (SVIR_LNC001206)
Source: RNAcentral